GAUGAAGAACGUAGCGAAAUGCGAUAAGUAAUGUGAAUUGCAGAAUUCAGUGAAUCAUCGAAUCUUUGAACGCACAUUGCGCCCGCCAGCACUCUGGCGGGCAUGCCUGUUCGAGCGUCAUUUCAACCAUCAAGCCCCCAGGGGCUUGUGCUGGGGCCCUGCGGCUGCCCGCAGGCCCUGAAAACCAGUGGCGGGCUCGCUAGUCACACCGAGCGCAGUAGCACAUCUCGCUCAGGGCGUGCGGCGGGCUCCUGCCGUGAAACCCCCCACUGUAUCCCCAAAGGUUGACCUCGGAUCAGGUAGGAAUACCCGCUGAACUUAAGCAUAUCAAUAAGCGGAGGA
This 342-nucleotide unclassified non-coding RNA is filed under the name soil metagenome. RNAcentral's name for it is "partial contains 5.8S ribosomal RNA, internal transcribed spacer 2, and large subunit ribosomal RNA". The stretch from base 1 to 120 matches the Rfam family "5.8S ribosomal RNA", at positions 35 to 154 of the family's 154-position model. The record is from RNAcentral.